AUUGAACGCUGGCGGCAUGCUUUACACAUGCAAGUCGAACGGCAGCGCGGGCUUCGGCCUGGCGGCGAGUGGCGAACGGGUGAGUAAUACAUCGGAACGUGCCCAGUAGUGGGGGAUAGCUCGGCGAAAGCCGGAUUAAUACCGCAUACGACCUGAGGGUGAAAGCGGGGGAUCUUCGGACCUCGCGCUAUUGGCGCGGCCGAUGGCAGAUUAGCUAGUUGGUGGGGUAAAGGCCUACCAAGGCGACGAUCUGUAGCUGGUCUGAGAGGGCGACCAGCCACACUGGGACUGAGACACGGCCCAGACUCCUACGGGAGGCAGCAGUGGGGAAUUUUGGACAAUGGGCGAAAGCCUGAUCCAGCAAUGCCGCGUGUGUGAUGAAGGCCUUCGGGUUGUAAAGCACUUUUGGCGGGAACGAAAAGGACUGUGCCAAUACCACGGUUCGAUGACGGUACCCGCAGAAUAAGCACCGGCUAACUACGUG
RNAcentral lists this ribosomal RNA (484 nucleotides) under uncultured bacterium. RNAcentral describes it as "partial 16S ribosomal RNA". It matches the Rfam family "Bacterial small subunit ribosomal RNA", at positions 29 to 507 of the family's 1533-position model. The record is from RNAcentral.